This 240-nucleotide ribosomal RNA is filed under the name uncultured bacterium. RNAcentral's name for it is "partial 16S ribosomal RNA". It matches the Rfam family "Bacterial small subunit ribosomal RNA", at positions 333 to 587 of the family's 1533-position model. The record is from RNAcentral.
UUUUCCCUACGGGACGCAGCAGUGGGGAAUAUUGCACAAUGGGGGAAACCCUGAUGCAGCGACGCCGCGUGAGCGAAGAAGUAUUUCGGUAUGUAAAGCUCUAUCAGCAGGGAAGAAAAAAAUGACGGUACCUGAGUAAGAAGCACCAGCUAGAUACGUGCCAGCAGCCGCGGUAAUACGUAUGGUGCAAGCGUUAUCCGGAUUUACUGGGUGUAAAGGGAGCGUAGGCGGCGCGUUACG